Molecule: long non-coding RNA, 1678 nt
Organism: Rhincodon typus (whale shark)
Lineage: Eukaryota; Metazoa; Chordata; Chondrichthyes; Orectolobiformes; Rhincodontidae
Exons: 3
Source: RefSeq, a predicted model, not a curated record
AAAAAAGGCGCGAACUUCUCAGGAUCAAAAAGAGAAGUUGCUGGAAAAGCUCAGCGGGUCUGGCAGCAUCUGUGAAGAAACAAAAAAAAAAAUCACAGUUAACGUUUCGGGGUCCGGUGGCCCUUCCUCAGAACUCCUCUUCCCCGCCGGCGCUGGGCUCAACGGCUGAGCAUUUCCAGAACCUUCCAGCAGAACGUUCCACCACCACCCCCAACGAAGGAUGGCCUCACACGGCGAAUGAACGAUUGAAAAAAAUGCAUCAAAACAUCGGAGAAGUAUGGAGUGUUGUUGGCCAGAUUUCCAGCAUCCGCAGCUCUUUGGCUUUUCUCUUUUUUUGCGAAAUGUCGAGAGUUGGCUCCUUGCCAGGAAAGGACAUAAACCAUUAUAAUGUUUACACAGCUGCAGGCAGAGAGAGAGAGAGAAAUACUGAGUGGAAUGUGUAAAGACUGCCUGGGGUCGCUUCUUCUGGCGUGAAAUUCCAGAAGUAAACUGUACGAGGUAGCUUCAGAAACACUCACUCCACAUCGCUGUCACCAGAGUGGGCAACGGUAUUUCGAAAAUGGUAUUAAAUCAGAUAAGAGAUACAAAAUGUUAGCGGAUUCACGUGUAGGGACUAUGCAAAUAUACGUUGUUAUUGCUGACGGUUAUGUUUAGAAUCUCCCUAAACAACGCCACGUGUAACACUUCAGUUCCUAGUUUCAACACACAAUGCAGAGACAACGUUUACAACAAUGUACAACAGUCAUAUAUCCAGAAUGAAUGUUCUAUCUUAGGAACAAUAGGAAUUUUCAGUCAACCCUACGCUUCCUGUUACUUGGACCCCAUGAUUAAACAUGUCUAACAUGGAAGCAUUGGAGAACUCCCAGCUUCUUUCCUCAGCAAAACCCCUGGAUCAGAUCUGUAUCAGAAUCAGAGAAGAUGGACCUCCAUUGUGUCUUGGCGGUGGUGCACUGACAGUUCAAAGUCUAUCUGUCCAGUAAAAGGAUUGUAGAUCUGGAGCAACUCACACAUCAAAGAGAUCAUGCUCAACAGGAACAGCUACGGAAAUAUUGGCUUGAGCUCCAAGCAACACUGGAGAACAUGACAAACCUGCAAAAUUAGAUGGAGAAGUACAACACACACAUCAAGGAGCUGCAAUUCACUCAGAGACAGCCCCUUUCAAAACUAAAUGCUAGCUCCAGUGCUCCAGCAAAAUAACGCGGCAAGAUAUGGAAGAAACCAAAUAACCACUCAGCAGCAAGUGGAAGAGGACCAGGUAUGAAAUAAAAUAAAAGGUGAAGAAAACAUUGAAGGGCCAGACAAUUAUUGCAGCAGGAUAUGAAGGAGAAAAUAUACUGGAGCGACAAAACAUGAAAUCUUUGAUCGAAUUAGAAGAACCCAUGGUAAAAAAAAAGCAGAAGCUUCAAAUGAGCUAGAAACUGUUAAGAAAUGAAAAGUAAAUACUGAAAAGGUUUGAAAACAGCUUGAGGAACGAGAUCAGGCAGCAGUUGAUCUGGAACAAAACUUGGCCAUGCUGCAUCAGAACGAACAAAGUCUAGGACAGCAGCUGUAGCCCGUGAAAUAAAAACCUGACGACAAACAGGAGUAACAGGCAAUAUCACUGAUGCCAUGGCAAUCAAUAGCACCUCCGGACAAAGUCACCAUCAUGGAAACAAAAUAUUGCAGAUGCUGGAAAUCU